UACGUAGGGGGUAAGCGUUGUCCGGAUUUAUUGGGCGUAAAGAGCUCGUAGGCGGUUGGGCAAGUCACGUGUGAAAUCUCCACGCUCAACGUGGAGGCGCCACGUGAGACUGCCCUGACUCGAGUCCGGUAGGGGAGCGUGGAAUUCCCGGUGUAGCGGUGAAAUGCGCAGAGAUCGGGAGGAACACCCGUAGUGAAGGCGGCGCUCUGGGCCGGUACUGACGCUGAGGAGCGAAAGCGUGGGGAGCAAACAGG
Molecule: ribosomal RNA, 254 nt
Filed under: uncultured bacterium
Lineage: Bacteria
Description: partial 16S ribosomal RNA
Rfam family: Bacterial small subunit ribosomal RNA
Source: RNAcentral